Molecule: long non-coding RNA, 1543 nt
Organism: Gallus gallus (chicken)
Lineage: Eukaryota; Metazoa; Chordata; Aves; Galliformes; Phasianidae
Source: Ensembl
CUGAUUUGCCUCCAUUUGCUCCCUUAGUUCAGAAGCCGAGACUUGAAAGCUGUCCUGUGGAGGAUAAAAGACACAUCAGCUGGCUGAACAUUUGUAAGAGCCUCAUAAAGCGACAUCUUCAGCAUGAAGCAGCUGACUGGAGCCAGACGCAGAAUUAUUUCAACACCUGUUGAAACAAGCUGUCUUGGGUCAGGUCCAACCUGUUGGUAACAGCUGGGUGCUGGAGCACAGAAUCAGCCAUGGCAGGGACCAGAAAUGCCACCAAAGUCAUUGCAAGGGACAGAGUUAAGACUCCCUUCCUGGCCCAAAGCCUCACUUCAUCCUACACUAAGGCUGGAAGAGAAACAGUCAAACCUGAGAAAGCAAAGAUCUUGUGGAAUAACGAGGAAUGGAAAAUGCAGCCAAAACCAGGGAACUUUGUCUUUCCAAGCGAGCAUAUCACAGCCACCAUACGUUCCUCAUCAGGACAUUGCUGGAGUUUAAAAUGCUGAACUGGGACAGCCAAGUCUUUAAAGGGGAGGAGGGAGCUGACUCUGCUGUAGGAGACAAAUGAAAUGUGAGUGAUGUCCCCCUUCCCACACCACUGCAGGAAGAUUUUACCUAGUGCAGCACUUUUCCAGCAGCUGUCUGGGAACAGACUCAGUCCUUGGGUGCCUUGGUUGGCUCCCUUGCUUCUGGGGCUGCCUCUGGUGCUGCAAGCAAGGCCUCUGAUAAGAACAUUACUGAGAGGAACCGCAUUAUUGAUUCUAUAUUCAUUGAAGUUGUUAUGAAGAUUCCCAGAUGUCAACACCACAAGAUGGAAACCACUUCUAAAUGUACAGCUUGAGUGAAGAAUACACGGACAGAGAUUAUUUAAAAUACGCUUGGGAUGAUCAGCACAUCCAGUUUUAGAAAAUGUAUUUUUGGUGAAGCAUUAAUAUUUAAUUAUACUACAGAGAAGCUGUUUGAACACUUAGAAAGAAUUGGGCCGUUUUUAGAGGCCGUACUCCUGCUUAAAUGUUGCAUCCAAUGGACAGUGGUUCUUUUUGCCACAUGUACAGCAUUUACCGUGUUCCAUAACACAACUUAUCUGAUACCCUCGGGAUGUGAUGCAAGAUAGCACAUGACCAUUCUGAAGCCUGUGGUGCACAUAAUGCUAUCUUCCAGCCAGGCAAAAAUCUCCAUCAACUGCAAGAGGGGCCAAUAAGGAGCAUCUCAGUUAUCCUCACCUGAAUUCAGAAACUUCCUUCACUGUAAAUCCCACUCAGACAAAAGAAAGCAGCAAAUUGUCAAUUGGGUUGCGGGGCAUUUUUUACCAGUGCCAGUCUGUCCUUGGAAAAAAUGGCCUAUUCUGGUUUUCAAUGUUUUUAGUUAAAAUUUGUCUCAUUUGAGGAUCAUCUGAUGCCCGUUGUCUGACAACUCUUAGAAAAAAUAAAUAUUCAUAUAAUUCUAUUCUUAAGUUUCGAGCAAGGUUGACAAUUGUAUAUUUACAAAACAAACAACCACAAAACCCACAAACCCACCCACACAAACCACACAUACAAGCACACCGAGAGCAUGAACC